GAUGAACGCUAGCUACAGGCUUAACACAUGCAAGUCGAGGGGAAACGACAUUGAAGCUUGCUUCGAUGGGCGUCGACCGGCGCACGGGUGAGUAACGCGUAUCCAACCUGCCUCUGACUAAGGGAUAACCCGGCGAAAGUCGGACUAAUACCUUAUGAGGUUUUCAGCAGACAUCUAAUGAAAACGAAAGAUUUAUCGGUCAGUGAUGGGGAUGCGUCUGAUUAGCUUGUUGGCGGGGUAACGGCCCACCAAGGCAACGAUCAGUAGGGGUUCUGAGAGGAAGGUCCCCCACAUUGGAACUGAGACACGGUCCAAACUCCUACGGGAGGCAGCAGUGAGGAAUAUUGGUCAAUGGGCGAGAGCCUGAACCAGCCAAGUAGCGUGCAGGAUGACGGCCCUAUGGGUUGUAAACUGCUUUUAUGUGGGGAUAAAGUGAGCUACGUGUAGUUUAUUGCAGGUACC
This 462-nucleotide ribosomal RNA is filed under the name Segatella salivae. RNAcentral describes it as "bacterial SSU rRNA". It matches the Rfam family "Bacterial small subunit ribosomal RNA", at positions 28 to 479 of the family's 1533-position model. Lineage: Bacteria; Pseudomonadati; Bacteroidota; Bacteroidia; Bacteroidales; Prevotellaceae. The record is from RNAcentral.